This 528-nucleotide ribosomal RNA is filed under the name Brevibacillus ginsengisoli. RNAcentral describes it as "bacterial SSU rRNA". It matches the Rfam family "Bacterial small subunit ribosomal RNA", at positions 55 to 578 of the family's 1533-position model. The record is from RNAcentral. Lineage: Bacteria; Bacillati; Bacillota; Bacilli; Caryophanales; Paenibacillaceae.
AUGCAGUCGAGCGAGUCCCUUCGGGGGCUAGCGGCGGACGGGUGAGUAACACGUAGGCAACCUGCCUGUAAGACCGGGAUAACAUAGGGAAACUUAUGCUAAUACCGGAUAGAGUGUCUCCUCGCAUGAUGAGAUACGGAAAGAUGGCGUAAGCUAUUACUUGCGGAUGGGCCUGCGGCGCAUUAGCUGGUUGGUGGGGUAACGGCCUACCAAGGCGACGAUGCGUAGCCGACCUGAGAGGGUGACCGGCCACACUGGGACUGAAACACGGCCCAGACUCCUACGGGAGGCAGCAGUAGGGAAUUUUCCACAAUGGACGAAAGUCUGAUGGAGCAACGCCCCGUGAACGAUGAAGGUCUUCGGAUUGUAAAGUUCUGUUGUCAGGGACGAAACCGUGCCGUUUGAAUAAGGCGGCACCUUGACGGUACCUGACGAGAAAGCCACGGCUAACUACGUGCCAGCAGCCGCGGUAAUACGUAGGUGGCAAGCGUUGUCCGGAAUUAUUGGGCGUAAAGCGCGCGCAGGCGG